GCAGAGUUGUGUUUCUGUAGAAAGACAGAUCUUAUUACUUUAUCAGGAAAGUUAGAUGAGAUUGAGAUUGAGAUUGGCAAAUGGACAAAAGCUAGUAAAAAAAGAUGACCCUAGAACAUACCUUUUUAACCCCAUCUUACAUUUGUGGAAAAUCAUAGCUUACAGUCUUGGGAAAUUUGGGACAUGAAAAGUUUUCAUGGUAGUUCAUGUAGUGUAUGGGUUGAUGUAAUAGAAUAGUCUGAUAUUAUUCUACAACUACUGAAUCAUUCUCCCUUCAUUUAAACCCCUUUGUUUCACUUAAACAAGAUAAGAGUCUGAAUGGAAGAUCUUGUAGUUUCCAAGGGAUUCUGAGAAAUUUUUGUGUUCAACAUUUGGAAGGCUGUCUACUAUUUCAGUUGAUAUAACUUCUCCCUUUAAAAAAAAAUAUAGAUGUGGAUUUUCUGUAUAGUUCUGUUAUUUCCUUUUACCAAGAUUGUUGACUUUUGUGAUAAAAUUCAUACAAGAUUUUAUUUCUUGGUAACUUUGGCUUAUACAACUAUCUUUAAACCCUUGAGCAAUCUGUAUACAAUGAAGAGGUUUCUGACAUUUAUUCUUACACUCAUUUGUUUGACUUUAGAAUUUAGGCACAUUUACUUCUGUUGUUUUGAAUCUCUUUAGAGCUGCGUGUAGAUAGCUUUUAUUUCUGUGCAUUUAAAAUAAUCCAUUUAGAAAAUAUCUACAUGGUAAAAAUGAGAAGAAAUAGAAAUGUAUUUUUUCAUGAACAUUUUGAUACACAUUUCAUCAAAUUUAUUGAUUAACCAAUUUCUUACACUGGUUAUAAUCAGUAUUUGAUUCAGAGAGAGAGAAACAUUCAUUAUUAUACUGUAUCAUCAUUUUUAUCCCAUCCUUUACAAAUUACCAAGGUUGGGGCUUUCAAAAUUAUACUUUUAUUAUGGAAAAAAAUUUCAGCUACCCCAAAUCAUAAACUUGAACAGAAUUGAAGCAUUUUUUUUAAUUACUUGAAAAGGAAAAUGAAAGCUUAUUGUAGAAUGCUUGUAUUUUCUUUUCUCUCUCUGGAACCAGUAUAUUGCUGGCAGCUAUUG
RNAcentral lists this long non-coding RNA (1082 nucleotides) under Bos taurus (domestic cattle). Its description in RNAcentral is "long non-coding RNA NONBTAT011963". The record is from RNAcentral. Lineage: Eukaryota; Metazoa; Chordata; Mammalia; Artiodactyla; Bovidae.